Molecule: ribosomal RNA, 291 nt
Filed under: uncultured Anaerolineaceae bacterium
Lineage: Bacteria; Bacillati; Chloroflexota; Anaerolineae; Anaerolineales; Anaerolineaceae
Description: partial 16S ribosomal RNA
Rfam family: Bacterial small subunit ribosomal RNA
Source: RNAcentral
CGGUUAAGUCCGCUAACGAGCGCAACCCUCGUCGUAUGUUAUAUGUGUCAUACGAGACUGCCGGUAAAAAGCCGGAGGAAGGUGAGGAUGAUGUCAAGUCAGCAUGACCUUUAUAUCCAGGGCUACACACACGCUACAAUGGUCUGUACAAUGGGUAGCCAAGCCGCGAGGCGGAGCCAAUCCUGAAAGCAGGCCUCAGUUCAGAUUGCAGUCUGCAACUCGACUGCAUGAAGCCGGAGUUGCUAGUAACCGCAGGUCAGCAAUACUGCGGUGAAUACGUUCCCGGGUCUU